GAUGAACGCUAGCGAUAGGCUUAACACAUGCAAGUCGAGGGGCAGCACAAGGUAGCUUGCUAUCUGGGUGGCGACCGGCGCACGGGUGCGUAACGCGUAUGCAACUUGCCCUAUACAGGAGGAUAACCCGUCGAAAGACGGACUAAUACUGCGUAUGCUCACAACUUGGCAUCAAGUGGUGAGGAAGGAAAUUCGGUAUAGGAUAGGCAUGCGUCCCAUUAGCUUGUUGGUGAGGUAACGGCUCACCAAGGCAACGAUGGGUAGGGGAACUGAGAGGUUUAUCCCCCACACUGGUACUGAGACACGGACCAGACUCCUACGGGAGGCAGCAGUGAGGAAUAUUGGUCAAUGGGCGCGAGCCUGAACCAGCCAAGUCGCGUGAAGGAUGACUGUCUUAUGGAUUGUAAACUUCUUUUAUACGGGAAUAACAAGAGUCACGUGUGACUCCCUGCAUGUACCGUAUGAAUAAGCAUCGGCUAACUCCGUG
RNAcentral lists this ribosomal RNA (487 nucleotides) under uncultured bacterium. RNAcentral's name for it is "partial 16S ribosomal RNA". It matches the Rfam family "Bacterial small subunit ribosomal RNA", at positions 28 to 507 of the family's 1533-position model. The record is from RNAcentral.